CGCCGAUGGCCGCUACCAUGCCUAUAAAUAUGUCUGAAAGCCCUAGGUGAAUCCCCAUCUUCUUUGAUUUGGUUUAAUUUUGUUUCUAAUUUUCGAAGGAAUAGGUAGCCCAUGGAGAUCCGUUCUUGUUUGUGUUACGUGCGACUGUUUUGAGGGCUUCCGAAUCGGAUUGAGAGCCCUAAUGUGGCAGUCCGGGAUGCAGUCGGUGUCUUUGUCCAAGAUGGUGAGAUCUUCCGGUUCGGCUCGUGUUCCUCCGUAAUGACCUCCCACGGUGUGAUUUGGCCAGAUCCAUCCCCUUCUCAUAUUAUUUGGGGUGCAUGAAAUGUGGACUACGUAUACAAGAUUGCAGCAUCAUGAAAUGGUUUGAUACUUGGCUUGAUGUCCGAUUAAAUCGCCACACGCCAUCUGGGGUUUGCCCUUUGGCGUGAUUUCAC
Lolium rigidum is the source of this 434-nucleotide long non-coding RNA. RefSeq lists it as uncharacterized. The transcript is spliced from 3 exons. The record is from RefSeq and is a predicted model, not a curated record. Lineage: Eukaryota; Viridiplantae; Streptophyta; Magnoliopsida; Poales; Poaceae.